Molecule: ribosomal RNA, 588 nt
Filed under: uncultured bacterium
Lineage: Bacteria
Description: partial 16S ribosomal RNA
Rfam family: Bacterial small subunit ribosomal RNA
Source: RNAcentral
UGGGGAAUUUUGGACAAUGGGCGAAAGCCUGAUCCAGCAAUGCCGCGUGUGUGAAGAAGGCCUUCGGGUUGUAAAGCACUUUUGUCCGGAAAGAAAUCCUUGGCUCUAAUACAGUCGGGGGAUGACGGUACCGGAAGAAUAAGCACCGGCUAACUACGUGCCAGCAGCCGCGGUAAUACGUAGGGUGCAAGCGUUAAUCGGAAUUACUGGGCGUAAAGCGUGCGCAGGCGGUUUGCUAAGACCGAUGUGAAAAUCCCCGGGCUCAACCUGGGAACUGCAUUGGUGACUGGCAGGCUAGAGUAUGGCAGAGGGGGGUAGAAUUCCACGUGUAGCAGUGAAAUGCGUAGAGAUGUGGAGGAAUACCGAUGGCGAAGGCAGCCCCCUGGCCAAUACUGACGCUCAUGCACGAAAGCGUGGGGAGCAAAACAGGAUUAGAUACCCUGGUAGUCCACGCCCUAAAACGAUGUCAACUAGUUGUUGGGGACUCAUUUUCCUUAGUAACGUAGCUAACGCGUGAAGUUGACCGCCUGGGGAGUACGGUCGCAAGAUUAAAACUCAAAUGAAUUGACGGGGUCAUAGCUGUUUCCU